UUUCUUCGGAUUGAAGCCUUGGUGACUGAGCGGCGGACGGGUGAGUAACGCGUGGGUAACCUGCCUCAUACAGGGGGAUAACAGUUGGAAACGGCUGCUAAUACCGCAUAAGCGCACAGUACCGCAUGGUACGGUGUGAAAAACUCCGGUGGUAUGAGAUGGACCCGCGUCUGAUUAGGUAGUUGGUGGGGUAACGGCCUACCAAGCCGACGAUCAGUAGCCGACCUGAGAGGGUGACCGGCCACAUUGGGACUGAGACACGGCCCAAACUCCUACGGGAGGCAGCAGUGGGGAAUAUUGCACAAUGGGGGAAACCCUGAUGCAGCGACGCCGCGUGAGCGAUGAAGUAUUUCGGUAUGUAAAGCUCUAUCAGCAGGGAAGAAAAUGACGGUACCUGACUAAGAAGCCCCGGCUAACUACGUGCCAGCAGCCGCGGUAAUACGUAGGGGGCAAGCGUUAUCCGGAUUUACUGGGUGUAAAGGGAGCGUAGACGGCAUGGCAAGCCAGAUGUGAAAGCCCGGGGCUCAACCCCGGGACUGCAUUUGGAACUGUCAGGCUAGAGUGUCGGAGAGGAAAGCGGAAUUCCUAGUGUAGCGGUGAAAUGCGUAGAUAUUAGGAGGAACACCAGUGGCGAAGGCGGCUUUCUGGACGGUGACUGACGU
This 662-nucleotide ribosomal RNA is filed under the name uncultured Lachnospiraceae bacterium. RNAcentral describes it as "bacterial SSU rRNA". It matches the Rfam family "Bacterial small subunit ribosomal RNA", at positions 75 to 746 of the family's 1533-position model. Lineage: Bacteria; Bacillati; Bacillota; Clostridia; Lachnospirales; Lachnospiraceae. The record is from RNAcentral.